CUGAACAGUCUCUCCUGGAUGCCAUCAGAGGUUGAGGGCUCAGGCUUCGCUGGACACUCAAAGCUCCUGCGGUGGCAGGGCUGCCAGGAAGGUGUGCGGGGACUCCUCACUGUCUCUGUUGGACCUUAACAUUCAAGACGCAGUCAUGAAGUUCCACUAGCCUCUCGACUCAUGCUUGGGAAGGA
Long non-coding RNA from Microcebus murinus (gray mouse lemur), 185 nucleotides. NCBI's taxonomy places the organism in Eukaryota, Metazoa, Chordata, Mammalia, Primates, Cheirogaleidae. The record is from Ensembl.